This 90-nucleotide transfer RNA is filed under the name Chthonomonas calidirosea. RNAcentral's name for it is "tRNA-Ser". It matches the Rfam family "tRNA". From Rfam's summary of the family: Transfer RNA (tRNA) molecules are approximately 80 nucleotides in length. The record is from RNAcentral. RNAcentral also lists the same sequence under 3 other names. Lineage: Bacteria; Bacillati; Armatimonadota; Chthonomonadia; Chthonomonadales; Chthonomonadaceae.
GGAGUGAUGUCCGAGCUGGCCUAAGGAGCACGACUGGAAAUCGUGUAAUGGUCGAAAGACCAUUCGAGGGUUCGAAUCCCUCUCACUCCG